AUUGAACGCUGGCGGCAUGCCUUACACAUGCAAGUCGAACGGCAGCACGGAGCUUGCUCUGGUGGCGAGUGGCGAACGGGUGAGUAAUAUAUCGGAACGUACCCUGGAGUGGGGGAUAACGCAGCGAAAGUUGCGCUAAUACCGCAUACGAUCUACGGAUGAAAGUGGGGGAUCGCAAGACCUCAUGCUCGUGGAGCGGCCGAUAUCUGAUUAGCUAGUUGGUAGGGUAAAAGCCUACCAAGGCAUCGAUCAGUAGCUGGUCUGAGAGGACGACCAGCCACACUGGGACUGAGACACGGCCCAGACUCCUACGGGAGGCAGCAGUGGGGAAUUUUGGACAAUGGGGGCAACCCUGAUCCAGCAAUGCCGCGUGAGUGAAGAAGGCCUUCGGGUUGUAAAGCUCUUUUGUCAGGGAAGAAACGGUGAUUCUUAAUACGGAUUGCUAAUGACGGUACCUGAAGAAUAAGCACCGGCUAACUACGUGCCAGCAGCCGCGGUAAUACGUAGGGUGCAAGCGUUAAUCGGAAUUACUGGGCGUAAAGCGUGCGCAGGCGGUUAUGUAAGUCAGAUGUGAAAUCCCCGGGCUCAACCCUGGGAAUGGCAUUUGAGACUGCAUGGCUAGAGUGUGUCAGAGGGGGGUAGAAUUCCACGUGUAGCAGUGAAAUGCGUAGAUAUGUGGAGGAAUACCGAUGGCGAAGGCAGCCCCCUGGG
This 711-nucleotide ribosomal RNA is filed under the name uncultured bacterium. Its description in RNAcentral is "bacterial SSU rRNA". It matches the Rfam family "Bacterial small subunit ribosomal RNA", at positions 28 to 733 of the family's 1533-position model. The record is from RNAcentral.